Molecule: ribosomal RNA, 202 nt
Filed under: Verrucomicrobiota bacterium
Lineage: Bacteria; Pseudomonadati; Verrucomicrobiota
Description: Verrucomicrobia bacterium partial 16S ribosomal RNA
Rfam family: Bacterial small subunit ribosomal RNA
Source: RNAcentral
UAACCGCAGGUCAGCACACUGCGGUGAAUAUGUUCCCGGGCCUUGUACACACCGCCCGUCACGUCAUGGGAGUCGGUAACACCCGAAGCCGGUGGGCCAACCGCAAGGAGGCAGCCGUCGAAGGUGGGACCGGCGACUGGGACGAAGUCGUAACAAGGUAGCCGUACCGGAAGGUGCGGCUGGAUCACCUCCUUUCUAGGGA